GCUGCAGCUCUACACACGACUUUUCUGGUUUUAUCUUUAUUUAGCUUCUGUUUCCUGUAAAUUUAAUUAAUAUAGAAGAUAUGGAGUGUAGCUGCAGCAAUUUUAGAAGCUCUUCUUCUCUGCUUCUAUCAUCUUCUACUCCUUCUUCUCGCCUUUCUCAGUCUCACUUCCCUUCUAAGCGCAGUUUAUCGCAGAAAUUAAAGGUGCGAAAUCGUUUAGUGAUUAGAAAUUCUUGUCGGUUCGACGAAAAUGGUUCUGUUAAUGAGUUUCCCACCACACCCAACAAGUUAUUCAUGCAAGAGGCUAUUGGAGCUGAAUAUGGAGAAGGCUUUGAGACUUUUAGACAAGAUGGGCCUCUGAAGGUUGAUGUGGAUUUUUUGAAUGAUAGACUGCAAGAAGGUUUUCUUCAACGGAUACGCUAUGCCAUGAAACCUGAUGAAGCAUAUGGUCUUAUUUUCUCUUGGGACAAUGUUGUGGUGGAUACUCGUGCUAUGAAGUUCAAUGUGUGGAAGCAGCUUGCAUCUGAAGAGGAAAAGGAAAUUCCAAAAAAUGGACAUGCACAAAGACUGAUGCUAUAUGCAGGCGCUGAUCAUGUACUGCGCAAGGUGUUGCAAUGGGAGACGGCACAAAGUGAAGUGGACAGAUUAAAGUUGAGAUUGUCACAAUUAUACCAUGAUUAUCUACUUAGACUUAGAGAACCCAUUGAGGGCCUGGAAGAAUGGCUGGAUGCUGUAGCUAGAGCUCGUAUUCCUUGUGCUGUGGUUUCAAGCCUUGAUCGAGUGAACAUGAUAGGAGCUUUGGAGCGAAUGGGGCUCAAGAAGUAUUUUCAGGCUAUAGUGUCCGAGGAAGAUGGCAUGGAGUCAAUAGCUCAUAGAUUUCUUUCAGCAGCUUUGAAGCUAGAUAGGAAACCAUCCAAAUGUGUGGUGUUCGAGGAUGAUCCCAGAGGCAUAACUGCUGCUCACAACUGUACUAUGAUGGCUGUGGCAUUGAUUGGUGCUCAUCCCGCGUAUGAAUUAGUGCAGGCUGAUCUCGCUGUUGCUAGCUUCAAUGAACUCUCAGUGAUAAACCUUAGGAGGUUAUUUGCUAAUAAUGGUUCUGGAUUUAUGGACCGACAAAAGCAGAUUAUAGAGAAAUCUCCCCCAAAAAGAAAGCUAACAAUUGACACCAUUUUCUGAUUUCUUUACAUCUUGCCCCUCUAUUUCUUUAUUUUAUCCUAGCAUCUUCUUGUUCUUUUUUUUUUUUUUUUCCCAUUCCCAUCCACUCCCCUGAUAGAAUAUUCAUUUGUUAUUUACAUUCUUUAUGUGAAUGUACAAUAAUUUAGAGGUUUUGUAGCUUCCUAUGUGAUCAACAUGUUGGAAUAUUAUUAUCCAAUUGUCAAAGUUUAGCACUCAAUGUAUAGUUGAGUCAAAGUUGAGUUGCAAUGUAAUGCAUUCCUUCUAAGCUGUAUACUGUUGGGAGUAGGUGAAAAAUUGGGACGGAUUGGGUAUCAACCAAUUUUGAACUGCAGAAAAUUUUAAUAUUUACAUCUUUUCUGUACCUAUUUAAAGUUCUUUUUGAAUUAUUCUUAUUCAAAUUUGUUUAGUCUUAA
Molecule: non-coding RNA, 1588 nt
Organism: Jatropha curcas
Lineage: Eukaryota; Viridiplantae; Streptophyta; Magnoliopsida; Malpighiales; Euphorbiaceae
Source: RefSeq, a predicted model, not a curated record